Long non-coding RNA from Canis lupus familiaris (dog), 5580 nucleotides. RefSeq lists it as uncharacterized. The transcript has 6 exons. The record is from RefSeq and is a predicted model, not a curated record. NCBI's taxonomy places the organism in Eukaryota, Metazoa, Chordata, Mammalia, Carnivora, Canidae.
CCCUAGAGCAUCAUGGGAGGAGUCGGGUGGAAGGAUGGAGAGGCCGGAAGUGAUCCGCCGCCACGAUCGAUGCCUGGCGUGAGGCGACAGCGGCGCCCGCACAAAGACCCAGAAGGCCAGCUUUGAAGAAAACCUGGAGAAAAGGAGAAUCAUUAGUCUUCUUCGUGGUACAGGAGAUACAGAAAUAGCAGAAGGGUAUGGAUCAGACAACUCACAUCAAAGAUCUCAAAGCCAGCGAUGUCCAGGACCCCGAUGAAGUACUGCCUGGGCUGCUUGGUGUCCAGCUGCUGGUUGAUGCGGGUGACCAUCCACAGGAACAUCUUCUCAUAGACGGCCUUGGCCAGAGCGCCCACCGCAUUGUACACCUUCAUGGACAGAGUGGUGAUUGUUGACGUACCAAAGACAUGCUGAGAAGGCCUAGGAUGUGUGUCAUUCAUUGAGGUCGUGCACUCACCUGCUGCACAGUCUGGCCUUUGGUGACAUACUCGUUGCCGACCUUGACCCUGGGGUAGCAGAGGGCUUUGAGCAGUGUGUGUAUGUGUAUGUGUAUGUGACUUACAUCUGUAGCCAUCAGCUCCUCUUGGUCAUCAAUGCUGGGGACUGUGAUCUCCCCUUGGCUGACGAAGGCAUAGUCAUAUGGAUUGGUGGUGAUCAGGAGCAUUUCUGAGUGCAUAUAAUUCAAGAUGAUUUAAAAACAAGGGCAGCAGAACAAGCAAAUGAAAACUAAAAAAGAACAAAACCCUUUCAGUUUCCAAAACUCUAUGGAACAACAGGAAACUCUGGAGUUUAAAAUAUCUCCAAAGGCACUACAUUUGGUGUGUGAAGAUAAAAGGUUUUAAUGCCAUAUUUGGGCCUAUAAUGCGUAUCAAAGCUGUUUAUGCUUUGAUAAGACAGGAAUAAAAGAGUUUGAUAUAAUUUCAAAAAUAUUUUCAGAGGAAGAGGUAUUUUUAUUUUCUUCCAUUCUAGUAGGAAGAAACUUCAGAAUCAUCAGGAGGAAAGUGGUAGCUCUUUAUUUACACGGGUUAUACCCUAAAGGCUGUCAGUUUGUUUAAAGAUAAGAAUUCACAAAGCUUUCUAGCUGUAGCUGGUAACUGUGUUCCUUGAUCGCUGUGGAUGUGCUUAUUUUAAAAUCAUUGAUUGGAACUUUUCUCCUGUUGAAAUCAGAAAUUACAACCUGUGGGAAAGCAGCAGAUGUGUUUACAGAGGUCUAUUAAUUGUUUCCGCCUGGGUUCUGCUUACUAACUGGGUUAGCUUGGGCAGGUAGGUCAAUGAACUCAGCCAGCUUCCCUUUACUCUCUCUAACAUGGGGAUGACUGCUGUGAAGAAUAUAUGAUACUGUAGUUCUUGGAAGUUCCUUGAAAACAGUGAAGCCCCAUGCGGCUACAAUGUAUUAUUAUAAUCAGAGCCCAGACAGUCUGUUUGUUUGUUAAGGAUUCUGUUUCCACAUUUCUGUGAAUAGUUGUGUCACUCACUCACCGGUCAGCAUGAACUGAUAGGCAUUGUCAGAGAUGGAGAAGAUGUGGGGCGGGGCCUCUUGGCGCUUCUUGCCUCGGUAGGCGGCCACCACCUCGGGGUUGUACACUGGCAGCCACUUGUAGGGGUUGACGGUGACGCAGAAGAGGCCCGAGUAGGUCUGAGAAAACCAGAGAGUGCAACAUGUGGAUCUUGUCUUUACUCAGAGAGAGAGACAGAAUAAGGACAUCCUGAAAGGCACUCACAUAGAUCAUCCAGGCUGCAUAACGCUCUUUGAGGUUGUACAGCACUCCAGGCUCGUGCAGGUGUGUCAUCAUGGCCAUGUCCUCGAUCUUGUCAUAUUUCGGAGGGUUCAUGGGGAAGACUUGGUCCUCUCUGACAGUCAGAGUCUGGCAAGUAAAGCAAGAGACCACUUCAUAUAAAUGGUGGGACGUGGGGUUGGUUUGUCUAUUUGCUUUGUUUAUAAGACUAUCAUUACAGACACUUUCCAUUAUAUUAUUCAGUAUUCUUUAAACAAAGGCAUGAAAUUAUAUUUGUUUCAGAGUCUGAUGCUAAGAAAAUACGUCUCCUAUGACAAACUAGAAUACUACGUUUUUUAAAAGAUUUUUAUUUCUUCCCACGUCCCCCUGUCGCAGGUUUAUCAGUUUAUAUUUUUUUAUUCUUAUUUUAAUAGGCUGAAUUUUUAAUUUUUCCUGGCUGUUCAUUACGGGAAAUUACUAAUACAUUAUUUAGCUAAGAAAUUAACAAUAGUUUCCUGACCAGAGAAGCUGGCUUCUAUUUCCCCCAAGUUUGGGGGUUUAGAGUGGGAAGUGGGAGUGAGGGAUAUGGUGGCAGCUAACUCUAGUGUGUUGAAGUCCUGUGAGCUUCUGGGAAGGGGGGACCUGAGGUUACCACUGGGAACCUCCUUUGCUGUGCAAACUGGGUGUCCGUAAUGGACCAGAAGGGUGUCUAUAGUGGCAGGAGACCUAGAGCUUCCCAGCAAGUAGAGCUUCACCUCCAAGUGAGGAGACCCAGAAAGACAGCCGGGAGCGUUUCCUCUCUUUGUUUACUUACUGCUCCACCUUCUGUCUUCACAGUUACUUUCCCUCCUUCCUUGCUCUGUAUGGUGCUCUUCACGUAGGAGGCUUUGGGCUCCGCGACAAAGACGGAUGUUUUAGCAUCGAAGGGCUUAUUUUGGGCCUCGAUCCGCUCCUUUUCGGAUUUUCGGAGGAAGGGAGCGGCUUCGCCAAAAACCGCCAUCUCAGCGUCUGAACUCGCGCUCAUGGCUGCGGUUUCUUUAGCAGAGGAUUCUGCCUUGGGGAAGAAAUGGGGCAGAGGGAGAAAUGGAAACCAGAAGUUAUACCUGUGAGCGAGGAUAUACAUGAAAGCAGUGUUGCACCCCAUUGCUUGGGCUGCCAGUGCUCCCCCAGGCUGUCCUUUACUGGUGUUCUCACACAGGCCAGAGGACUGGUCAGGCAUGUUAGGACUGGAGCUUCAUUCUUAGUACUUUGCAGAUUUCCUUAUAGAUCACGUCUCUUGAUCCUCAGGGCCAGAAUGCCUACACUGGAACCCUAUGUGUUUGAAUCUCUACACUGUAACAAUAUCUAUAGCUGGUGGAUUGUUCUAUAGCAGCUGCCUGUCUUUCAUCCCUGCUUUUCCUUCUGCAUGAUGUUUGCAUCUGCCAUAUAUCAGGACAGUCAUAUCGUUAGGAUAGAAGGUUUGUCUUGUGCAAAGGGAGGUUGAUACUUUCAAAGUUUUCAAAAAUGUGCUUUGCCUUUAUAAGUGGCUUUUUUUUUUUUACUCUUAAGACUUGUGUUAUUAUUAUUUUUUUAAAUUCAUUUAUUUGAGGGGAGAGGAGCAGAGGGGGAAGGAUGGGAAGAAUCUCAAGCAGGCACAGAGCCUGACGAAGGGAUGGCUCUCACAACCCUGAGAUCAUGACCUGAGCCAAAAUCAAGAGUUGAAUGCUUAACCUAUUGAGCCUCUCAGGUGCUCCAAAGCUUCUGUUAUUUUAAAAAUCUACUUUAUGUUAAUAGUUAGUAUUAAAUCUCUCAGUGGGUCAUUGAAAGAACGUUAUAAUAAAUUCUUAAUAUGGGUAGUUUUGCCUUUUGGCUUGUUACCAAGAGACUUAGUGUUGCCUUAAUUCCAGAAUCUCUUUUGACAGAUUGUUUUUCGCAUGAGAGAUUUCAACUGCCAGUUAACAGAUCUAAUUGCGGAGAAAGGAGAGCUUCAGGAUGAAGACCCUUCUUCCCACAUACAUUCUCGGGCUUCUUUUCUUUCCAUCAGUAAAAAGAAAAACAAACCAUAAUAAUGAAUUACUCUUCAGUUAUGACUUUCGUGUGAACCUCUCGGCUCUUCACCCGCAACUUGUUGACCUGGGACUCGGCAAUGUCAGCCCGCUCCUCUGCCUCCUCUAGCUCGUGCUGGAUCUUGCGAAACUUGGCAAGGUUGACAUUGGAUUGUUCCUCCUGAGACAAGAAACGCAUUUCAGAGAACAUGAAUAUUUGACAUUUUCGGAUUCUCACUGCCUUUGUUAUGAGAAGCAGCUACUGGAUUUACUUCAUAAAUGAGAAAGCAAAGGUUCUUUUAUUUGGUCAUGUACUUAUUUGGGUGCAAGGCAUCUCACACAGUCGCCUCUGUGAACAAGUGGGCUUACAACCCCCCACCCCCACCCCGGUUUUGUCUCUCUCACUUGAUUCUCUUCCUGGCAAACUUAAGAUGCUACAAUGUCAACUGGAAGAUCAAAGUAGUGGGAAUCUGGAUCUGUGAGACAAACUUUUAAAAGUAGGCACAGUGGUAGUACUGGGUGAAGAGAAACUUAAGAAAAGUUUCUGAAUUAACAGGACAAGAUAGAUUAUGAGAAAGGAGCCAAAUGAAAAAUGUUCUGAUGGAUUUGUUGUGAAGUUCAUUUAACAGAGCUUAGACUUCAGAGCCCUCAUGCGCAGCCCCUGUGAGUGCUGGAGAUUCCUGGGAGUAGUGGAGCGUUACAGAUAAGGGAGGGAAGUAGAUGGUAACUAAGAAACAUUUCUAAACUAACAUGGCUGGAAAAUUGCUUAAGGAGGUCUCCUAAGGUUCUAGUAAUUACUGGUAAACAUUUUUCAUUCUGAAUAUUCAUUUUCACAUCUAAUUUUGUACUCUUUUGCCUUAAAGAAAGGCUCUUAAAUACUAUAAACUAAAGACUCCACACAACCUGGGCCUGUUCCUGAACUUUUCUUCCUUAUUGUGAAGCUACUCACAGCCUCUUCAGCUUGUCUCUUGUAGGCUUUAACUUUGGUUUGCAAUUUGUCCACCAAGUCCUGCAACCUAAGAACGUUCUUGCGAUCUUCCUCAGUCUGAAAUGAGAGAGGUAGCAAACAGUGUUGUCACUGAAAAUGACUCCUCAUUUUUAUUUUCUUGAGAGCAGUAGGCCUGAGAUAUAUGGAAUGGUGGGUCACCUGGUAAGUGAGUUCCUUCACUCUUCUCUCAUGUUUACGAAGACCCUUGACAGCCUCAACGUUGCGCUUCUGUUCAUUUUCAACCUCAUUUUCAAGCUCCCUUACCUGGAAGAGAACAAAAGUGUUUAGCAGUUUGGCUGUAACUAGCUGCAUGAGCAGGUGGGGAAUUGAAUGAAGUGAUGGGCACCUACCCUGGCCUCCAGUUUCUGGAUCUGUUUCUUCCCGCCCUUCAGGGCCAGCUGCUCAGCCUCAUCCAGACGAUGCUGCAGGUCCUUCACCGUCUGCUCCAGGUUCUUCUUCAUCCGUUCCAGGUGGGCGCUGGUGUCCUGCUCCUUCUUCAGCUCCUCGGCCAUCAUGGCCGCCUGAUCAGCAGUAAAACAAAACCAGUUGAGAAAGGGAAGUGAGAACAUCAAGAUUCAAGUUUGACGAUCACCGUGCUGCCCUCUGCUCACGUCGGUGAUGGCCUUCUUGGCCUUCUCCUCUGCAUUGCGGGCUUCCUGGACGAUGUCCUCCAUCUCGCCCUGGAUCUGGGAAAUGUCUGUCUCCAGCUUCUUCUUGGUGUUGAUCAGACUGGUGUUCUGGUUAAAAUUUAUUAAAAAAAGAAAGGGAAGCCCAUUUAAUUCUGUUUACAUUUUCAUUGACUAGUGUACUUAGGCAAAAAUUCUUGAUUCAUAAAAAUUUCGGGAUAAAAACCAAA